Molecule: ribosomal RNA, 490 nt
Filed under: uncultured bacterium
Lineage: Bacteria
Description: partial 16S ribosomal RNA
Rfam family: Bacterial small subunit ribosomal RNA
Source: RNAcentral
AUUGAACGCUGGCGGCAGGCCUAACACAUGCAAGUCGAACGGUAACAGGAAGAAGCUUGCUUCUUUGCUGACGAGUGGCGGACGGGUGAGUAAUGUCUGGGAAACUGCCUGAUGGAGGGGGAUAACUACUGGAAACGGUAGCUAAUACCGCAUAACGUCGCAAGACCAAAGAGGGGGACCUUCGGGCCUCUUGCCAUCGGAUGUGCCCAGAUGGGAUUAGCUAGUAGGUGGGGUAACGGCUCACCUAGGCGACGAUCCCUAGCUGGUCUGAGAGGAUGACCAGCCACACUGGAACUGAGACACGGUACAGACUCCUACGGGAGGCAGCAGUGGGGAAUAUUGCACAAUGGGCGCAAGCCUGAUGCAGCCAUGCCGCGUGUAUGAAGAAGGCCUUCGGGUUGUAAAGUACUUUCAGCGGGGAGGAAGGGAGUAAAGUUAAUACCUUUGCUCAUUGACGUUACCCGCAGAAGAAGCACCGGCUAACUCCGUG